AAGUCGUAACAAGGUUUCCGUAGGUGAACCUGCGGAAGGAUCAUUAACACGUAUCCACGUAUCAACCAAUGAGAACCUGUUUUCCCGUCUCCCUGUGCAAAGAAUGAAUUGGAACCAGUUUGAGGGAGUGAUGGGACCGAAAGGUCGGCCUUCCUGGUAUACUUAUGUCGACAGAAAUGUUUGCAUAGACAAUUGUAUUUUUGUUACAGGCUAUUUCUUAUCGCUUUGAUCCCCAUCAUGAUCGUGGCGGUAGGGAAACUUUCACUAAAUUUACCUUUUUUGCUAGUUGACUUUUUAUAUGUGUUGUCUUGCGAAUUUUUAUAUGUGUUGUCUUGCGAAAGCAUGGUGGCACACGUUUAUUAAUUGAACGUUAAAAAAUACAACUCUUAGCAAUGGAUAUCUUGGUUCUC
RNAcentral lists this unclassified non-coding RNA (410 nucleotides) under fungal sp. RNAcentral describes it as "partial internal transcribed spacer region". The stretch from base 1 to 46 matches the Rfam family "Eukaryotic small subunit ribosomal RNA", at positions 1786 to 1831 of the family's 1831-position model. The record is from RNAcentral. Lineage: Eukaryota; Fungi.